AGGUCGGUAGUUCAGCGGCCAGAACGUCGGUCUCCAAAACCGAAGACGCAGGUUCGAGUCCUGCCCGACCUGCCU
This 75-nucleotide transfer RNA is filed under the name Anaerolineae bacterium. Its description in RNAcentral is "tRNA-Trp". It matches the Rfam family "tRNA". Rfam says of the family: Transfer RNA (tRNA) molecules are approximately 80 nucleotides in length. Lineage: Bacteria; Bacillati; Chloroflexota; Anaerolineae. The record is from RNAcentral.